Molecule: ribosomal RNA, 480 nt
Filed under: uncultured bacterium
Lineage: Bacteria
Description: bacterial SSU rRNA
Rfam family: Bacterial small subunit ribosomal RNA
Source: RNAcentral
AAUCAACGCUGGCGGCGUGCCUCAGACAUGCAAGUCGAACGAUUAAAGCUCUCUUCGGAGAGUGUAUAGAGUGGCGCACGGGUGAGUAACACGUAAGUAAUCUACCUUCGAGUGGGGAAUAACGUCCGGAAACGGACGCUAAUACCGCAUAAUGCAGCGGCAUCGCAAGAUGACAGUUGUUAAAGAUUUAUCGCUUGAAGAGGAGCUUGCGGCAGAUUAGCUAGUUGGUAAGGUAACGGCUUACCAAGGCUACGAUCUGUAUCCGGUCUAAGAGGACGGUCGGACACACUGACACUGAAUAACGGGUCAGACUCCUACGGGAGGCAGCAGUCGGGAAUUUUGGGCAAUGGGCGAAAGCCUGACCCAGCAACGCCGCGUGAAGGAUGAAGUAUUUCGGUAUGUAAACUUCGAAAGAAUAGGAANAAUUAAUGACGUACUAUUUAUAAGGUCCGGCUAACUACGUGCCAGCAGCCGCCGCUG